GACGAACGCUGGCGGCGUGCUUAACACAUGCAAGUCGUACGGUAAGGCCCUUUCGGGGGUACACGAGUGGCGAACGGGUGAGUAACACGUGAGUAACCUGCCCACAACUUUGGGAUAACGCUAGGAAACUGGUGCUAAUACUGGAUAUGUGCUCCUGCUGCAUGGUGGGGGUUGGAAGGCUCCGGCGGUUGUGGAUGGACUCGCGGCCUAUCAGCUUGUUGGUGGGGUAGUGGCCUACCAAGGCGGCGACGGGUAGCCGGCCUGAGAGGGUGACCGGCCACAUUGGGACUGAGAUACGGCCCAGACUCCUACGGGAGGCAGCAGUGGGGAAUAUUGCACAAUGGGCGCAAGCCUGAUGCAGCAACGCCGCGUGCGGGAUGACGGCCUUCGGGUUGUAAACCGCUUUCAGCAGGGACGAAGCUUUUUGUGACGGUACCUGCAGAAGAAGCACCGGCUAACUACGU
RNAcentral lists this ribosomal RNA (464 nucleotides) under uncultured bacterium. RNAcentral's name for it is "partial 16S ribosomal RNA". It matches the Rfam family "Bacterial small subunit ribosomal RNA", at positions 28 to 506 of the family's 1533-position model. The record is from RNAcentral.